AUUGAACGCUGGCGGCAGGCCUAACACAUGCAAGUCGAGCGGAUGAAGGGAGCUUGCUCCUGGAUUCAGCUGCGGACGGGUGAGUAAUGCCUAGGAAUCUGCCUGGUAGUGGGGUAUAACGUCCGGAAACGGGCCCUAAUACCGCAUACGUCCUGAGGGAGAAAGUGGGGGAUCUUCGGACCUCACGCUAUCAGAUGAGCCUAGGUCGGAUUAGCUAGUUGGUUGGGUAAAGGCCUACCAAGGCGACGAUCCGUAACUGGUCUGAGAGGAUGAUCAGUCACACUGGAACUGAGACACGGUCCAGACUCCUACGGGAGGCAGCAGUGGGGAAUAUUGGACAAUGGGCGAAAGCCUGAUACAGCAAUGCCGCGUGUGUGAAGAAGGUCUUCGGAUUGUAAAGCACUUUAAGUUGGGAGGAAGGGAAGUAAGUUAAUACCUUGCUGUUUUGACGUUACCAAAAGAAUAAGCACCGGCUAACUUCGUG
This 484-nucleotide ribosomal RNA is filed under the name uncultured bacterium. Its description in RNAcentral is "partial 16S ribosomal RNA". It matches the Rfam family "Bacterial small subunit ribosomal RNA", at positions 30 to 507 of the family's 1533-position model. The record is from RNAcentral.